GACGAACGCUGGCGGCGUGCUUAACACAUGCAAGUCGAACGGAAAGGCCCUGCUUUUGUGGGGUGCUCGAGUGGCGAACGGGUGAGUAACACGUGAGUAACCUGCCCUUGACUUUGGUAUAACUUCAGGAAACUGGGGCUAAUACCGGAUAGGAGCUCCUGCUGCAUGGUGGGGGUUGGAAAUUUUCGGCGGUUGGGGAUGGACUCGCGGCUUAUCAGCUUGUUGGUGGGGUAGUGGCUUACCAAGGCUUUGACGGGUAGCCGGCCUGAGAGGGUGACCGGCCACAUUGGGACUGAGAGACGGCCCAGACUCCUACGGGAGGCAGCAGUGGGGAAUAUUGCACAAUGGGCGGAAGCCUGAUGCAGCAACGCCGCGUGCGGGAUGACGGCCUUCGGGUUGUAAACCGCUUUCGCCUGUGACGAAGCGUGAGUGACGGUAAUGGGUAAAGAAGCACCGGCUAACUACGUG
Molecule: ribosomal RNA, 468 nt
Filed under: uncultured bacterium
Lineage: Bacteria
Description: partial 16S ribosomal RNA
Rfam family: Bacterial small subunit ribosomal RNA
Source: RNAcentral